AAGUUCCACACAAAACCAAAUGUAUAUAAAAGUAUAUCAAAAUAUUUCAAAAAUUCUUCAUCAUUCACUUCAAUCUAGAUCAAGUUGAGUUGUGGCGCCCACCAUUCAAAUUUGAUCCUCCACAUUGAUCCUACACAUUCAAAAUGAAAUAAACAAUUAGAAGUAAAAUUAUGCUCAACAACAACAACAACAACAUACCCAGUAAAUUCCUACCAAGUGGGGUUUGGGGAGGG
This 233-nucleotide long non-coding RNA is filed under the name Capsicum annuum. RNAcentral's name for it is "long non-coding RNA (CANN_LNC006606)". Lineage: Eukaryota; Viridiplantae; Streptophyta; Magnoliopsida; Solanales; Solanaceae. The record is from RNAcentral.